This 253-nucleotide ribosomal RNA is filed under the name uncultured bacterium. RNAcentral's name for it is "partial 16S ribosomal RNA". It matches the Rfam family "Bacterial small subunit ribosomal RNA", at positions 524 to 776 of the family's 1533-position model. The record is from RNAcentral.
UACGUAGGGGGCAAGCGUUGUCCGGAAUUAUUGGGCGUAAAGAGCGUGUAGGCGGUCCGGUAAGUCAGCUGUGAAAGUCAAGGGCUCAACCCUUGAAAGCCGGUUGAUACUGUCGGGCUAGAGUCCGGAAGAGGCGAGUGGAACUCCUGGUGUAGCGGUGGAAUGCGCAGAUAUCAGGAAGAACACCAACGGCGAAGGCAGCUCGCUAGGACGGUACUGACGCUGAGGCACGAAAGCGUGGGGAGCAAACAGG